RNAcentral lists this ribosomal RNA (530 nucleotides) under uncultured fungus. RNAcentral's name for it is "SSU rRNA". It matches the Rfam family "Eukaryotic small subunit ribosomal RNA", at positions 300 to 837 of the family's 1831-position model. The record is from RNAcentral. Lineage: Eukaryota; Fungi.
CAAAUUUCUGACCCUAUCAACUUUCGAUGGUAGGAUAGUGGCCUACCAUGGUUUCAACGGGUAACGGGAAUUAGGGUUCUAUUCCGGAGAGGGAGCCUGAGAAACGGCUACACAUCCAAGGAAGGCAGCAGGCGCGCAAAUUACCCAAUCCCGACACGGGGAGGUAGUGACAAUAAAUACUGAUACAGGGCUCUUUUGGGUCUUGUAAUUGGAAUGAGUACAAUUUAAAUCCCUUAACGAGGAACAAUUGGAGGGCAAGUCUGGUGCCAGCAGCCGCGGUAAUUCCAGCUCCAAUAGCGUAUAUUAAAGUUGUUGCAGUUAAAAAGCUCGUAGUUGAACCUUGGGCCUGGCUGGCCGGUCCGCCUCACCGCGUGCACUGGUCCGGCCGGGCCUUUCCUUCUGGGGAGCCGCAUGCCCUUCACUGGGUGUGUCGGGGAACCAGGACUUUUACUUUGAAAAAAUUAGAGUGUUCAAAGCAGGCCUAUGCUCGAAUACAUUAGCAUGGAAUAAUAGAAUAGGACGUGUGGUUC